Molecule: ribosomal RNA, 305 nt
Filed under: uncultured bacterium
Lineage: Bacteria
Description: bacterial SSU rRNA
Rfam family: Bacterial small subunit ribosomal RNA
Source: RNAcentral
AUAGCCUACGGGGGGCAGCAGUGAGGAAUAUUGGUCAAUGGGCGAGAGCCUGAACCAGCCAAGUCGCGUGAAGGAUGAAGGAUCUAUGGUUUGUAAACUUCUUUUGUAUGGGAAUAAAGUGAGGAACGUGUUCCUUUUUGUAUGUACCAUAUGAAUAAGCAUCGGCUAACUCCGUGCCAGCAGCCGCGGUAAUACGGAGGAUGCGAGCGUUAUCCGGAUUUAUUGGGUUUAAAGGGUGCGUAGGCGGAAUGCCAAGUCAGCGGUAAAAUCGCGGGGCUCAACCUCGCUCCGCCGUUGAAACUGGC